AAAGGAGCAGAGAGAAAGAAGGGCUAAAGGAAGAUACCACAUUGUCGCUAGCUCAUCUUCCAGAGUGUGCGCAGCGGGCAACUUUAGGGAAUCCUAGCAUCUCUACCAUUCUCUGGUGAACAGCCCAGACACAAUGGUGAAGGUCUGAGAGGACGGAUGCAGGGGAGACCCCAGGAUUUUGCCAGGGCUCUGCAAGUUGGAGUCUGAUUGAGUUGGGCUGUGCUCACGCACACACUGAUGACACUAUGGACAAGGAUGGAGAGGAGGCAAAGCGUUAUACUUCAACCCUCCCCCCCCGCCUGCCACAAACCUCUCUUCACGGCAUUCACAGACCCAUGUUCUGUAGCACCUGCUGGGGACUCAGCAGAGGGAAGAGCCUGUCCAGGUCUCUUACAUCUACACUAGGACCCUGGUCUCUGUAACACUGCUGUUUUUAUAUUUUAUAGUUUCAGUCCCUGUACUUUCAGGUCUUCAGCUUAUUUCUUUCUCCUGCAAAGCAUGGUCUAGUUCCUGUGGGAAGAAAGUUGUUCUGAAGCAAUAAACAAUAACAAGC
This is a long non-coding RNA of Zalophus californianus (California sea lion), 553 nucleotides long. RefSeq lists it as uncharacterized. The record is from RefSeq and is a predicted model, not a curated record. The transcript has 4 exons. NCBI's taxonomy places the organism in Eukaryota, Metazoa, Chordata, Mammalia, Carnivora, Otariidae.